RNAcentral lists this transfer RNA (69 nucleotides) under Lepetodrilus guaymasensis. RNAcentral describes it as "tRNA-Gly". Lineage: Eukaryota; Metazoa; Mollusca; Gastropoda; Lepetellida; Lepetodrilidae. The record is from RNAcentral.
ACUUACUUAGUAUAACUAGUAUGGCUGUCUUCCAAACAGCAGGUUUAAAUAAAUUGUUUAAAGUAAGUA